UACGUAGGGGGCUAGCGUUGUCCGGAAUUACUGGGCGUAAAGCGCGCGUAGGCGGUUUGGAAAGUCAGAUGUGAAAGCCGCGGGCUCAACUUGGGAACUGCAUUUGAUACUGCCAGACUAGAGUACAGAAGAGGUGACUGGAAUUCCCAGUGUAGCGGUGAAAUGCGUAGAUAUUGGGAGGAACACCAGAUGCGAAGGCGGGUCACUGGGCUGAUACUGACGCUGAGGCACGAAAGCGUGGGGAGCAAACAGG
RNAcentral lists this ribosomal RNA (253 nucleotides) under uncultured bacterium. Its description in RNAcentral is "partial 16S ribosomal RNA". It matches the Rfam family "Bacterial small subunit ribosomal RNA", at positions 524 to 776 of the family's 1533-position model. The record is from RNAcentral.